UCUCUUUCUUGGGAAGCUAAAUUGUCCAUAACCAACCACCCUUACUAUAUUUUACUAGUACUAUAAAAAUAGAAAGCCUUGGGCUAGCUGUCACAACAACACUUCAAAUCACAGCAAAUUAGCCAAGACUUGAUUACAAUAUGGCAACUGCAGCAGCUGGUAGAGGAGCACAAUCCAUGAACUUUAUGUAUUUCAAGUAAGGUUAUUAAAUUUGAAGUAAAAUUUACUCCAUUGUAUUCUUCUUUCUUUUUUAAUUUUUAAGGUAUGGACACAUUUUGGUAAUUUCUCUGUAUUGUGGAAAGGUUACCAUAGGAGUUUCAAUCAAAAUGCAAUUGUUGGAAAUUAAUGCGUGUUAUAGUUCAGACAAAGUGAGUGGUAUAUACGAGAUUGUUCCAUUUGGUCGUUUCUGUUGAUGGUACUGAUAUAUUAUCUAUUUUUGUCUUCUUGAGCUGAAAGUCUAUCGGAAACAACCUUUCUAUUUUCCGGGUAGGGGUAAGGUCUGCGUACGCACUACUUUCCCCAUACCCUACUUGUAGGAAUUUAUUGGGUUGUUGUUGUUGUUCCAUUUGAUCGUUAUUGUAAAUACACCUGCCUGUUUUAGUCUGUCGUGAUCAUUAGUAACAAUAUUAAGAGGGAAUAUAAGUAAAUCCAAAAAUAUAGCUAUUAUGGGAUGUACUAACUAAGACUACUAGCUAAGAGUUUCUAUCACUAUCUUGCAAUUAACAUCUUCAAGAUAUCCACGAAAGGAUGACAAUUUUCAUCCAUCUAGAAAAGAAAAUGCAAUAAUGAAGAUGAACAUGAAGAAGAAAAAAAACUACAAGCCAUCCUGCCUUUUUCUUGCAUGUUGGUUUUAAAAUCUUACUAAAUCCAUCUAUUUUUAUCACGAGAAGGCACAAAACUAUGAGGGGCAAAAUUCACAAAUAGACACAAUUUAGUAAUUGUAAUUGAAAAAUAAUCAUUGUCCUGGAGUUUUAAAUUUCAUAAGUGAAACUCUACGCCAUUAUUCAAGAGUUUC
This 1015-nucleotide long non-coding RNA is filed under the name Nicotiana tabacum (common tobacco). RNAcentral describes it as "long non-coding RNA (NTAB_LNC012868)". Lineage: Eukaryota; Viridiplantae; Streptophyta; Magnoliopsida; Solanales; Solanaceae. The record is from RNAcentral.